CCUACGGGUGGCAGCAGUGGGGGAUAUUGCACAAUGGGGGGAACCCUGAUGCAGCGACGCCGCGUGGGUGAAGAAGCGCCUCGGCGCGUAAAGCCCUGUCAGCAGGGAAGAAAAUAACGGUACCUGAAGAAGACGCCCCGGCUAACUACGUGCCAGCCGCCGCGGUACUACGUAGGGGGCAAGCGUUAUCCGGAUUUACUGGGUGUAAGGGGGGCGCAGACGGCGAUGCAAGCCAGGAGUGAAAGCCCGGGGCCCAACCCCGGGACUGCUCUUGGAACUGCGUGGCUGGAGUGCAGGAGGGGCAGGCGGAAUUCCUGGUGUAGCGGUGAAAUGCGGAGAUAUCAGGAGGAACACCGGUGGCGAAGGCGGCCUGCUGGACUGCAACUGACGUUGAGGCCCGAAAGCGUGGGGAGCAAACAGGAUUAGAUACCCCAGUAGUC
Molecule: ribosomal RNA, 440 nt
Filed under: uncultured bacterium
Lineage: Bacteria
Description: partial 16S ribosomal RNA
Rfam family: Bacterial small subunit ribosomal RNA
Source: RNAcentral